UACGAAGGGGGCGAGCGUUGUUCGGAAUUACUGGGCGUAAAGGGCGCGUAGGCGGCCGAUCAAGUCAGAUGUGAAAGUCCUAGGCUUAACCUGGGGACUGCAUUUGAUACUGAUUGGCUUGAAUUCGGGAGAGGAUAGCGGAAUUCCCAGUGUAGAGGUGAAAUUCGUAGAUAUUGGGAAGAACACCGGUGGCGAAGGCGGCUAUCUGGACCGACAUUGACGCUGAGGCGCGAAAGCGUGGGGAGCAAACAGG
RNAcentral lists this ribosomal RNA (253 nucleotides) under uncultured bacterium. RNAcentral describes it as "partial 16S ribosomal RNA". It matches the Rfam family "Bacterial small subunit ribosomal RNA", at positions 524 to 776 of the family's 1533-position model. The record is from RNAcentral.